This 478-nucleotide ribosomal RNA is filed under the name uncultured bacterium. RNAcentral describes it as "partial 16S ribosomal RNA". It matches the Rfam family "Bacterial small subunit ribosomal RNA", at positions 28 to 523 of the family's 1533-position model. The record is from RNAcentral.
GACGAACGCUGGCGGCGUGCUUAACACAUGCAAGUCGAGCGAUGAAACUCCUUCGGGAGUGGAUUAGCGGCGGACGGGUGAGUAACACGUGGGUAACCUGCCUCAUAGAGGGGAAUAGCCUUCCGAAAGGAAGAUUAAUACCGCAUAAGAUUGUAGUACCGCAUGGUACAGCAAUUAAAGGAGUAAUCCGCUAUGAGAUGGACCCGCGUCGCAUUAGCUAGUUGGUGAGGUAACGGCUCACCAAGGCGACGAUGCGUAGCCGACCUGAGAGGGUGAUCGGCCACAUUGGGACUGAGACACGGCCCAGACUCCUACGGGAGGCAGCAGUGGGGAAUAUUGCACAAUGGGGGAAACCCUGAUGCAGCAACGCCGCGUGAGUGAUGACGGUCUUCGGAUUGUAAAACUCUGUCUUCAGGGACGAUAAUGACGGUACCUGAGGAGGAAGCCACGGCUAACUACGUGCCAGCCGCCGCAGUAA